CACUUCCUCGAUCUCCCCAAUAGUUUUGAAGAACUCAAAUUAGACAAUCGUUAUUUGCAUUAACAUAAGAAGUUAUGAGUUCCGACGCUAAUUCUCCACGAAUUCCAGCUGGCAUCACAAGGGAGGAUACUGGUAUCCACAAAUGCAUUUUCUUUCUCCUUGCCAUGGUAGAAUUGCUCCUACAAGUUAAAUGUUCAACCUCGCAGGCAUCUCUAUUUGAUAUAGACUACGUCGUUGUUUUAAUGUUAAUUGCCAAUUUAUUCGAUUAUCCGGCCAUUGUCAAGAUACUGCAAGCAUCCCACAAUUCAGACCUCUAUGGAUUGAUGAACAUAAUCAGCCUUUUGUGUGGAACUUUUUCCUCAAUUCUAUUAACAUUCAUCCUUGUUCCAGAUUUUGGAUAGUUUGCUCUCGCAUGAUGGGCAUAUGCUUUGUGACAACUAUGGUUAAGUCCUAUCCAACCUUGAAAAGACUUUGUACAUGUACAACAAAUGCAACUGACAUGCUCUGUUAUGUCAUUCGCAAACUCAAUGAGCUAAACAUGAGAUGCAAACAUUAACAUUGAUCCUCUAACAGAAAUGUAAUUUCAAAAUAUUUACCAAAAUAAUUUUUACCAA
Malus domestica (apple) is the source of this 614-nucleotide long non-coding RNA. RefSeq lists it as uncharacterized. NCBI's taxonomy places the organism in Eukaryota, Viridiplantae, Streptophyta, Magnoliopsida, Rosales, Rosaceae. The record is from RefSeq and is a predicted model, not a curated record.